This 1287-nucleotide ribosomal RNA is filed under the name uncultured beta proteobacterium. Its description in RNAcentral is "bacterial SSU rRNA". It matches the Rfam family "Bacterial small subunit ribosomal RNA", at positions 116 to 1398 of the family's 1533-position model. The record is from RNAcentral. Lineage: Bacteria; Pseudomonadati; Pseudomonadota; Betaproteobacteria.
UAUCGGAACGUACCAUUCAGUGGGGGAUAACGUAGCGAAAGUUACGCUAAUACCGCAUAUUCUGUGCGCAGGAAAGCAGGGGAUCGCAAGACCUUGCGCUGAUUGAGCGGCCGAUAUCAGAUUAGCUAGUUGGUGAGGUAAAAGCUCACCAAGGCGACGAUCUGUAGCGGGUCUGAGAGGAUGAUCCGCCACACUGGAACUGAGACACGGUCCAGACUCCUACGGGAGGCAGCAGUGGGGAAUUUUGGNACAAUGGGGGCAACCCUGAUCCAGCCAUGCCGCGUGAGUNAAGAAGGCCUUCGGGUUGUAAAGCUCUUUCAGCCGGGAAGAAAAUGCAUGGGUUAAUACCCUGUGCAGAUGACGGUACCGGAAUAAGAAGCACCGGCUAACUACGUGCCAGCAGCCGCGGUAAUACGUAGGGUGCGAGCGUUAAUCGGAAUUACUGGGCGUAAAGCGUGCGCAGGCGGUUUUGUAAGACAGGCGUGAAAUCCCCGGGCUUAACCUGGGAACUGCGUUUGUGACUGCAAGGCUAGGGUACGGCAGAGGGGGUGGAAUUCCACGUGUAGCAGUGAAAUGCGUAGAGAUGUGGAGGAACACCAAUGGCAAAGGCAGCCCCCUGGGUCGAUACUGACGCUCAUGCACGAAAGCGUGGGUAGCAAACAGGAUUAGAUACCCUGGUAGUCCACGCCCUAAACGAUGUCAACUAGGUGUUGGGAGGGUAAAACCUUUUAGUACCGUACGUAACGCGAGAAGUUGACCGCCUGGGGAGUACGGCCGCAAGGUUAAAACUCAAAGGAAUUGACGGGGACCCGCACAAGCGGUGGAUGAUGUGGAUUAAUUCGAUGCAACGCGAAAAACCUUACCUACCCUUGACAUGUCAGGAACUUUCCAGAGAUGGAUUGGUGCCCGAAAGGGAGCCUGAACACAGGUGCUGCAUGGCUGUCGUCAGCUCGUGUCGUGAGAUGUUGGGUUAAGUCCCGCAACGAGCGCAACCCUUGUCGUUAAUUGCCAUCAUUUAGUUGGGCGCUUUAACGAGACUGCCGGUGACAAACCGGAGGAAGGUGGGGAUGACGUCAAGUCCUCAUGGCCCUUAUGGGUAGGGCUUCACACGUCAUACAAUGGUCGGUACAAAGGGUCGCCAACCCGCGAGGGGGAGCCAAUCCCAUAAAGCCGAUCGUAGUCCGGAUUGUAGGCUGCAACUCGCCUGCAUGAAGUCGGAAUCGCUAGUAAUCGUGGAUCAGCAUGUCACGGUGAAUACGUUCCCGGGUCUUGUACACACCGCCCGUC